RNAcentral lists this ribosomal RNA (468 nucleotides) under uncultured bacterium. RNAcentral's name for it is "partial 16S ribosomal RNA". It matches the Rfam family "Bacterial small subunit ribosomal RNA", at positions 28 to 507 of the family's 1533-position model. The record is from RNAcentral.
GAUGAACGCUGGCGGCGUGCUUAACACAUGCAAGUCGAACGGAAAGGCGCUGAUUUUGUGGCGUGCUCGAGUGGCGAACGGGUGAGUAACACGUGAGUAACCUGCCCUUGACUUUGGGAUAACUUCAGGAAACUGGGGCUAAUACCGGAUAGGAGCUCCUGCUGCAUGGUGGGGGUUGGAAAGUUUCGGCGGUUUGGGAUGGACUCGCGGCUUAUCGGCUUGUUGGUGGAGUAGUGGCUUACAAAGGCUUUGAAGGAUAGGCCGCCUUGGAGGGUGACCGGCCUCCUUGCGCCUAAGAGACGCCCCAGUCUCCUACCGUAGGCAGAAGUGGGAAGUCUUACGCAAUGGCCGCAAGCCUGAUGCAGCAGCGCCGCGUGCGUGAUGCCGUCCUUCGAGUUAUGAACCGCUUUCGCCUGUGACGUGGCGUUAGUGACGGUACUUGGUAAAGAAGCACCGGCUAACUACGUG